Molecule: ribosomal RNA, 469 nt
Filed under: uncultured bacterium
Lineage: Bacteria
Description: bacterial SSU rRNA
Rfam family: Bacterial small subunit ribosomal RNA
Source: RNAcentral
CAGGACGAACGCUGGCGGCGUGCCUAACACAUGCAAGUCGAACGAGGUCCAAGGAAGCUUGCUUCCUGAAGACCUAGUGGCGAACGGGUGAGUAACGCGUGAGAAACCUGCCUCGGAGUGGGGAAUAACUCGGGGAAACUCGAGCUAAUACCGCAUACCUUCACAUGAUCGCAUGGUCGAGUGAAGAAAGAAUUUCGCUCUGAGAGGGUCUCGCGGCCUAUCAGCUUGUUGGUGGGUAACGGCCUACCAAGGCAACGACGGGUAGCUGGUUUGAGAGAACGAUCAGCCACACUGGGACUGAGACACGGCCCAGACUCCUACGGGAGGCAGCAGUGGGGAAUCUUGCGCAAUGGGCGAAAGCCUGACGCAGCAACGCCGCGUGCGGGAUGACGGCCUUCGUGGUUGUAAACCGCUUUCAGCAGGGACGAAAAUGACGGUACCUGCAGAAGAAGCCCCGGCUAACUACGUG